Molecule: RNA transcript, 1930 nt
Organism: Coccinella septempunctata (seven-spotted ladybird)
Lineage: Eukaryota; Metazoa; Arthropoda; Insecta; Coleoptera; Coccinellidae
Exons: 5
Source: RefSeq, a predicted model, not a curated record
AAGUGCUCGCUAUCUCACCCUUACAGAGUUCUCAUCCUAAUCUAAACAGUACAAUAGAAGUGAUAUCCGGAUCUGCUCACAGGCGUAGUUCAGUAAUCGUCCGGUAGGCGCUCCUUCCAUGUAGCGGUUCUCUCCGAUCCAUGAUCCAUGAUCCAUACUCUGCGCUCUGCGUUACGCUCCGUGAUCGGUGUCGUCCCUAGCUAUGGACCGAAGUGCGUGUGAUCUUUGAUCCGAUUGUCGGUAGACGUUUGACAUAACCUAUUCCGUGGCACUCUAUGACUGUCGUUGGUUCGGUGGUAUCUGUCAGAAACAACGUGCUUUUAGUGGAAUGAAAUUACUCCAGAAUUGGGAAAUGAAAUCGAUGGCAACAUAAAACGGGAACUAUCAUUCACGAUGAAAUGGGCUGAUGAGGCAUCUUUGACGUUGACCACUUGUUGGCACUGUUUCCUUCUUGGAUGUUGGUUCGGUGCAUCAAUUGACUACGAAGAUGGGUCAAGCAGGUGGAAAUGUACCCAAGCUUGAAAUCACUCGCCGUUGGAGGCGAAUUGGACCCUCUCACAACACUGGAGGUGGAUGUGGACAUUCACUGUGUGCCAGAAUAUUGUUCGGAGUUGGGACGUAAUCCCUGACGGAGGAAUGGUGGAGGCUCUCUGAUCCGACAGUCCCCGCUAGAUCAUACACUACAGGAGAGACUACCUUAAUAACGGUAUACGGUCCGGCGAAUUUUGCAGCCAGUUUAGCUGCGAAACUGUCGACAGCGGAUGAUAACGGAUUUGUGCGACGGAGAACUUUGUCACCUACAUGGAAGCGAACUUCUCUACGGCGUAGGUUGUAAUGAUGAGCCUGCUGUUCAAAAGCCCUGUACAAGCGAGCUUGCACAAACUCAUGUGCUUCCUGUAGGUGCCGGAUUUGUUCUGUACGUCAACUUGUGUUUCAGGAUAUCGAAAGCCUUCUGCUGGUCUUCUCCCCAUUUCCACCGCUGUUUCUUCUUGAGCAGCAGGGUUAGCGGAGAAACUACAUUGGAGAAAUUCUCGAUGAAUCGACGGUACCAGCUCGCAACACCCAGGAAUCGGCGUAACUCUCGGACGGUCUUGGGAGCAGGAAAUGACACUAUGGAUGCCACUUUAUCCGGAUCCGUACAGAUGCCUUCGGAAGUGACGACAUGUCCCAGGUACUUCAGAGACUUCCGGACAAACUCACAUUUGUCGGGAUUGAGACGUAAGUUGGCUUCCCUUAGUCGUCUGAAUACUUCCCUUAAGUUCUCCAUGUGUUCUUCAAAGGUUUCCCCUAGAACGACUAUAUCGUCUAGAUAGGCAAACGCUUUGGGCUCCAUUUCGGGACCGAUUACGGUAUCCAGGAAUCUCUGGAACGUGGCUGGGCUUGCGUGUAAGCCGAAUGGCAUGACGGUGAACUGAAAUAGUCCUCUUCCCGGGACCGUGAAUGCUGUAAUAGGCCGGCUAUCCUUUUCUAACGGUAUUUGCCAGUAUCCCUGUUUCAAGUCAAUCGUCGAAAUGUAUUUGGCUCUGCGUAAUUUGUCCAAGAUUCCCGAAAUAUACGGCAACGGAUACGCAUCUUUAACGGACACUUCGUUGACUGCUCGAAAAUCGAUACAAAACCGGUAUUUACCGUCCUUCUUUUUGACUAACACAACAGGUGAACUCCACGGCGACUUAGAAGGCUCAAUAACUCCCUCAGCCAGCAUUCGAUCUACUUCCUGGUUGAAGAUUUCCUGCAUCUUCGGAUUCUGUGGCCGGUAUCGCUGUUUAAUCGGUUCUGUCCCAGGUUUGAGUUUGAUUUUGUGUUCUAUCAGUUUCGUGGUGCCGGACAACUUCUCGAACUCCUUCAUUUCUCUGGCGAGAAAAGCAUCCAACUUCUUUUUCUGUGCCUUGGUCAGUUCCAGCAAGUGUUCGCCAGUGGCGUGUACCUCCAC